CAUUUUUAAUCGUGAAGUUUGGAGCCUGUUUAAAGUUUUUGGUUCCGUUGGCCCUGGGGAAAUUAAUGAUUAACAAUCUUAAUGAAUUCCAAGAGCUAAAUUUUCCUAAAGAACAUUAACUGAUCAAAUGCUAAAGUUUUGCUUGUUACCGGCAACAUCGUCACCUAAUAAAACCCAAUGUUCCAUUUAACUUUCUUGUCCGCCGCAAAUAAAUCAAGCCUUUCGAUUUCCUAUGCGCAUUCGAUAAAACCAACGGAACGACAACAGAAGAAAGCACGAGAGCGGCGUCGUCCCGUAAAUGCGGUAUUGCGUGAAACACGUUCGUCUGGAGAUGCGGAAAAAGAAAUACACGAUAUAAUGAGGAGCACUCCGAUGAUUUAUAAGACCCUAAAUGCUUUUAAAUUGUAUUAUGGCAUGCGUGUUGCAGUUUUUCAUGAUAUCGAAUGGCUUAUUAAUAUUGGGCAUUCUAAUCUAUGCCGAGGACGCCUUCUAAUCUUUGUGGUUCUUGGCGUGAUUUUAUUGGAGGCUUAUUCUAAUUAGGCCUUGUUCUUUUUCGAAAUUUAUAAAGCCGAGACAUUCAAGUGCAA
This is a long non-coding RNA of Aethina tumida (small hive beetle), 587 nucleotides long. RefSeq lists it as uncharacterized. The transcript has 2 exons. The record is from RefSeq and is a predicted model, not a curated record. Lineage: Eukaryota; Metazoa; Arthropoda; Insecta; Coleoptera; Nitidulidae.